UACGGGGGGAGCAAGCGUUGUUCGGAUUUACUGGGCGUAAAGGGUGCGUAGGCGGCGCGGUAAGUCGGGGGUGAAAUCUCGGAGCUUAACUCCGAAACUGCAUUCGAUACUGCCGUGCUUGAGGACUGGAGAGGAGACUGGAAUUUACGGUGUAGCGGUGAAAUGCGUAGAUAUCGUAAGGAAGACCAGUGGCGAAGGCGGGUCUCUGGACAGUUCCUGACGCUGAGGCACGAAGGUCAGGGGAGCAAACGGG
RNAcentral lists this ribosomal RNA (253 nucleotides) under uncultured bacterium. RNAcentral's name for it is "partial 16S ribosomal RNA". It matches the Rfam family "Bacterial small subunit ribosomal RNA", at positions 524 to 776 of the family's 1533-position model. The record is from RNAcentral.